This 336-nucleotide unclassified non-coding RNA is filed under the name soil metagenome. Its description in RNAcentral is "partial contains 5.8S ribosomal RNA, internal transcribed spacer 2, and large subunit ribosomal RNA". The stretch from base 1 to 120 matches the Rfam family "5.8S ribosomal RNA", at positions 35 to 154 of the family's 154-position model. The record is from RNAcentral.
GAUGAAGAACGUAGCGAAAUGCGAUAAGUAAUGUGAAUUGCAGAAUUCCGUGAAUCAUCGAAUCUUUGAACGCACAUUGCGCCCCCUGGUAUUCCGGGGGGCAUGCCUGUCCGAGCGUCAUUGCAACCUUCAAGCGCGGCUUGUGUGUUGGGUCUCGACCCCCGUGGACGGGCCCGAAAGGCAGUGGCGGCGUCCCGACAUGGUGCCCGAGCGUAUGGGAAUCCUCUUCCGCUCGAAUCGGCCCAUGCGGCGCUGGUCGUAACCAAAUUUUUUACCGGUUGACCUCGGAUCAGGUAGGGAUACCCGCUGAACUUAAGCAUAUCAAUAAGCGGAGGA